UGAACCUUAAAGGAGGAUCAACUUGAUAACUUAGAGUAGACUAGUUAUCAACUUUGAUCUUCUUAUAAGGUCUG
RNAcentral lists this microRNA precursor (74 nucleotides) under Plutella xylostella (diamondback moth). RNAcentral describes it as "microRNA pxy-mir-8543 precursor". The record is from miRBase by way of RNAcentral. Lineage: Eukaryota; Metazoa; Arthropoda; Insecta; Lepidoptera; Plutellidae.